ACACGGAUAACUGUGGCAAAUCUAGAGCUAAUACGUGCGUAAAUGCGUUUCCUCACGGGAGCGCAGUAUUUAUUAGUUGUAAAACCGACUCUGUGGCAACACAGGUUUGUGGUGAAUCAUAAUAAUUGCAGCGAACCGCAUGUCUCACGACGGCGGUGAACCGUUCAAGUUUCUGCCCUAUUAGCUUUAGAUGGUGGUGUAUUGGACUACCAUGGCAGUGAUGGGUGACGGAGAAUUAGGGUUCGAUUCCGGAGAAGGAGCCUUAGAGACGGCUCCUACAUCCAAGGAAGGCAGCAGUGGCGAAACGUACCUAAUCCUGAUUCAGGGAGGUCGUGACGAUGUAUAUUAAUGCGUUGUUUUUUAAAUAAUGCUAUUGAAAUGAGUACAAUUCAAAACUUUUAACAAGGAUCAAUUGGAGGGCAAGUCUGGUGCCAGCAGCCGCGGUAAUUCCAGCUCCAAUAAGGUAUAUUAAAGUUGUUGCAGUUAAAAAGCUCGUAGUUGAAUUUCUGGGGGUUGUUUGAGUGUCUUGGUUGUCGAAAGGCAGUCUUGAUGCUCACGCCUUCAUCUUUCGAUGGAAUUUUCAUGAUCGCAAGGUUGUGGGAGGAAAGUCGUUCCUUCACUGUGAACAAAUUGGAGUGUUCAAAGCAGGCUUACGCUGUGAACAUUUAAGCAUGGAAUGAUAAAUUAUGACGUUUGUCUUAUUUGUCGGUUUUUUGACGAAUGUAAUGUUUAACAGAAACAGGGGGGGGUAUUGGUAUUUGAUUGUCAGAGGUGAAAUUCUUGGAUUUAUUAAAGACCCACUGCUGCGAAAGCAUCUAUCAACGAUGUUUUCAUUAAUCAAGAUCGAAAGUUUGGGGAUCGAAGAUGAUUAGAUACCAUCGUAGUCCGAACUAUAAACGAUUCCGACUCGGGAUCCUAGGAUGUCUUUUAUGACUUCUGGGGCACCGUAUGAGAAAUCAAAGUCUUUGGGUUCCGGGGGGAGUAUGGUCGCAAGGCUGAAACUUAAAGGAAUUGACGGAAGGGCACACCAGAAGUGGAGCCUGCGGCUUAAUUUGACCCAACACGGGGAAACUCACCAGGUCCAGACAUAAUGAGGAUUGACAGUUUGAAAGCACUUUCUUGAUUCUAUGGGUGGUGGUGCAUGGCCGUUCUUAGUUGGUGGAGUGAUUUGUCUGGUUGAUUCCGAUAACGAACGAGACCCGGGCUCUAAAAUAGCGAGGCGAUUCUCACGAAUUGCUAUUGCUUCUUUAGAGGACAACUCAGGUUUACUGAGGGGAAGCGCCGGUCAAUAACAGGUCUGUGAUGCCCUUAGAUGUUCUGGGCUGCACGCGCGCUACAAUGAUUGUAUCAACGGGUUUUUUCCUCGCCAGAGAUGGCUUGGGUAAUCCUUUAAAUUGCAAUCGUGAUGGGGCUCGAUGCUUGUAAUUAUUCAUCGUCAACGAGGAAUUUCUAGUAUGUGUAGUUCAUCAGACUACGCAGAAUGCGUCCCUGCCCUUUGUACACACCGCCCGUCGCAGCUACCGAUUGGAUGGUCCGAUGAAAUCUCUGGAGGCUAUGAUUUUCGGCGCAAGUCGUGGUCAUGCCGAAGUUGCUUGAAUCUUAUCAUCUAGAGGAAGCUGAAGUCGUAACAAGGUU
RNAcentral lists this ribosomal RNA (1635 nucleotides) under metagenome. RNAcentral's name for it is "SSU rRNA". It matches the Rfam family "Eukaryotic small subunit ribosomal RNA". The record is from RNAcentral.